RNAcentral lists this ribosomal RNA (564 nucleotides) under uncultured bacterium. RNAcentral describes it as "bacterial SSU rRNA". It matches the Rfam family "Bacterial small subunit ribosomal RNA", at positions 335 to 916 of the family's 1533-position model. The record is from RNAcentral.
ACUCCUACGGGAGGCAGCAGUGGGGAAUAUUGGACAAUGGGGGAAACCCUGAUCCAGCAAUGCCGCGUGAGUGAUGAAGGCCUUAGGGUUGUAAAGCUCUUUUACCAGGGAUGAUAAUGACAGUACCUGGAGAAUAAGCUCCGGCUAACUCCGUGCCAGCAGCCGCGGUAAUACGGAGGGAGCUAGCGUUGUUCGGAAUUACCGGGCGUAAAGCGCACGUAGGCGGUUACUCAAGUCAGAGGUGAAAGCCCGGGGCUCAACCCCGGAACUGCCUUUGAAACUAGGUAACUAGAAUCCUGGAGAGGUGAGUGGAAUUCCGAGUGUAGAGGUGAAAUUCGUAGAUAUUCGGAAGAACACCAGUGGCGAAGGCGGCUCACUGGACAGGUAUUGACGCUGAGGUGCGAAAGCGUGGGGAGCAAACAGGAUUGGAUACCCUGGUAGUCCACGCCGUAAACGAUGAUAACUAGCUGUCCGGGCACAUGGUGUUUGGGUGGCGCAGCUAACGCAUUAAGUUAUCCGCCUGGGGAGUACGGUCGCAAGAUUAAAACUCAAAGGAAUUGACGG